RNAcentral lists this ribosomal RNA (433 nucleotides) under uncultured bacterium. RNAcentral describes it as "partial 16S ribosomal RNA". It matches the Rfam family "Bacterial small subunit ribosomal RNA", at positions 29 to 507 of the family's 1533-position model. The record is from RNAcentral.
AACGAACGCUGGCGGCAUGCCUAACACAUGCAAGUCGAACGAGACCUUCGGGUCUAGUGGCGCACGGGUGCGUAACGCGUGGGAACCUGCCCUUAGGUUCGGAAUAACUCCCCGAAAGGGGUGCUAAUACCGGAUAAUGUCUUCGGACCAAAGAUUUAUCGCCUUUGGAUGGGCCCGCGUUGGAUUAGCUAGUUGGUAGGGUAAAAGCCUACCAAGGCGACGAUCCAUAGCUGGUCUGAGAGGAUGAUCAGCCACGCUGGGACUGAGACACGGCCCAGACUCCUACGGGAGGCAGCAGUGGGGAAUAUUGGACAAUGGGCGAAAGCCUGAUACAGCAAUGCCGCGUGAGUGAUGAAGGCCUUAGGGUUGUAAAGCUCUUUUACCCGGGAUGAUAAUGACAGUACCGGGAGAAUAAGCACCGGCUAACUCCGUG